UGAAUUGAAGUGGAUAUAAGGAUGUUACAAUAUGGAUUUGAGAGCUAAGGUAUGGAAGAAGAGCUGAUGCUUCCAAUGGUUGUACCUAGUGCAAUUGAUCUAGUACACAGCUGUUGGAGAGUUGAUUUAGAUAAGGACGAUACAACUUUCUUAGAUUGCAAUUCAUACCCCUCGAGUUUAGUUUGUUUAUAUAAGCAAUUACCUAUUCCUAUUGUAAUAGUUCAUUUAGACCCCUUAGUUAGGAUAUAUAUAUAUAUAUAUAUAUAUAUAUAUAUAUAUAUAUAUAGUUCUUUAACUGUAUAAUAAGAGUGGGUCAUAUGGACAACGAAGGGUAAUCAGUAAUUACAAGCUUCAAGAGAUACACCUGUCCGUCCAUCUUCAAAUGCAAAACAGAGCCAGACAAUUGAAAGAUUUGAAGCUCAGACAUGGCUAUUGUCAACUGAAACUUAUGUACCAGCAUAGAUUAGACUUGGAUAUUCCGGAGUAGGUAGACAGGGAGGUGGCCCAGAUUUCUAGGAGCUACUCAACAGAUUUGCAGGAGCACUCCACUAUUUUGGAGGUGCCAUCUUGAGAUAUUAUCUUUGUGUGUAUGUAUUUUGGGCAUGAUAGGGUCCAGUCCCGUCAUUAUGUCUAGUACUCUAGUAGAGGCUUGUAGAUACGUACGCGUGGGUAGUAGAUGUCUCAUGAUGACUACAUUGUAUAUUUGUAUAUCAUUUUGAUAGCCCGAGGGGCUUAUGCACAUGAGUGUAGAUACUUUUUGGAGUGCUAAUAAGUGGUGCUCGGUAGUCAGCUCCAGGUACCCGUCACGCCCCCCUAGUCGGGUCGUGACAAUUAAUGCUACUGUAAGAAUUUAAAAGC
Lycium barbarum (goji berry) is the source of this 858-nucleotide long non-coding RNA. RefSeq lists it as uncharacterized. The transcript has 3 exons. The record is from RefSeq and is a predicted model, not a curated record. Lineage: Eukaryota; Viridiplantae; Streptophyta; Magnoliopsida; Solanales; Solanaceae.